GGCUCUUUGAGAUAGAUGUAGAGUUUGACCUGCCCGGUGAUAUAAUAAUUUAAACGGCCGCAGUAUCCUGACUGUGCGAAGGUAGCAUAAUAAUUUGUCUUAUAAUUGAAGAAUGGAAUGAAUGGUUUGACUAGGAUAUAGCUGUCUCUUAUAUAUUUUUUAAAAGUUAAUUUUUAAGUUAAAAAGCUUAAAUUAAAUUAAAAGACGAGAAGACCCUAUUGAGCUUAGUAAGGAAUAUCAUUAAUUAAAACUAUAAUAUAAAUAAAAAUUAAUAUUGAAAUUUUGGUUGGGGCGACUGAGGAAUAAAAAGAGCUUCCUUAAUAGAUUAAAAAAGAUAUUUUUAGAUCCAAAUGAUUUUGAAUCAAGAACAAGCUACCCUAGGGAUAACAGCGUUAUUUUUUUUGAGAGUUCUAAUCGAAAAAAAAGUUUGCGACCUCGAUGUUGGAUUAGGGACAAAGUAAGGUUGCAGAAGCUUUACAUAUUUAGUCUGUUCGACUAUUAAUUUCCU
RNAcentral lists this ribosomal RNA (508 nucleotides) under Diplommatina rubra A MS-2011. RNAcentral describes it as "partial 16S ribosomal RNA". It matches the Rfam family "Bacterial large subunit ribosomal RNA", at positions 1819 to 2597 of the family's 2925-position model. The record is from RNAcentral. Lineage: Eukaryota; Metazoa; Mollusca; Gastropoda; Architaenioglossa; Diplommatinidae.